UCACUAUAUAAACAAGGCGUACCGGAAGCACAAAAAAAUGAAGAUGCAAAAUAGCAUGCUCGCCACUGAUAUCGGGUGCAGAAUUUAUGAUCUGCAAACGUAUCUCAUCUGCUCUAAUUGGAGGUUUUGUGAGCUUACAUCAACUUGAAUUCUUCAAAUACAUGAAUGAAAACAGAUCCACACAGAUCCCACCGCUGGUGAAUCUCCCAGCCACAUGUUGCAUCCUUUACGAAGACCUACACAGAUGCCUAGAUCGGCGACGAUGCUGCAGCUAGGUAGGGAUGUGAUCAAAUACAUAUUAGCUAGAACAUCCUUAUUUUCCGGAUGGCAAAGUUGGGCAGUGAUCCUGGAAAUCUCCUCUGGAACUAAAAGGGAUGUGAUCAAUUACAUAUCAGCGAACAUCCUUAUUUUCCGGGUGGCAAAGUUGGGCAGUGAUCCUGGCAAUCUCCCCUGGAACUAAAACAAGGUGCUCCCUGCGCAUUGAGGCAGCAAAAGCAGUGAUGGGCAUUUGGUUCACCUUUGGUGUUACAAUCCCUUGCGACACACCAUUUUAUGGUAAGUUUGCUCUCAUCUAAGGAUGAGGCCACCAUAGUCUCGUUGUCAUGGCCAUCU
RNAcentral lists this long non-coding RNA (612 nucleotides) under Triticum aestivum (bread wheat). RNAcentral's name for it is "long non-coding RNA (TAES_LNC010941)". The record is from RNAcentral. Lineage: Eukaryota; Viridiplantae; Streptophyta; Magnoliopsida; Poales; Poaceae.